This 497-nucleotide ribosomal RNA is filed under the name uncultured bacterium. RNAcentral's name for it is "partial 16S ribosomal RNA". It matches the Rfam family "Bacterial small subunit ribosomal RNA", at positions 899 to 1397 of the family's 1533-position model. The record is from RNAcentral.
ACUCAAAUGAAUAGACGGGGGCCCGCACAAGCAGUGGAGCAUGUGGUUUAAUUCGAAGCAACGCGAAGAACCUUACCAGGUCUUGACAUCCCAUUGACCGACCUAGAGAUAGGUAAUCCCUUCGGGGCAAUGGAGACAGGUGGUGCAUGGUUGUCGUCAGCUCGUGUCGUGAGAUGUUGGGUUAAGUCCCGCAACGAGCGCAACCCUUGAGAUUAGUUGCCAGCAUUAAGUUGGGCACUCUAAUCUGACUGCCGGUGACAAACCGGAGGAAGGUGGGGAUGACGUCAAAUCAUCAUGCCCCUUAUGACCUGGGCUACACACGUGCUACAAUGGCUGGUACAGAGGGCAGCGAGACCGCGAGGUGGAGCGAAUCCCUUAAAGCCAGUCUCAGUUCGGAUCGUAGGCUGCAACUCGCCUACGUGAAGUCGGAAUUGCUAGUAAUCGCGGAUCAGCAUGCCGCGGUGAAUACGUUCCCGGGCCUUGUACACACCGCCCGU